GUAAUUCCGGUGAAGAUGCCGGAUACCUGCGACAGGACGGAAAGACCCCAUGGAGCUUUACUGUAGCUUGACAUUGGGUCUUGGUACUACAUGUACAGGAUAGGUGGGAGGCUUUGAAACCAGGACGCCAGUUUUGGCGGAGCCAUCCUUGGGAUACCACCCUUGUAGUACUGGGACUCUAACCAUAGGCCAUGAAUCUGGUCUUGGGACACUGUCAAGUGGGCAGUUUGACUGGGGCGGUCGCCUCGCAAAAGGUCACGGAGGCGCAGAAAGGUUCUCUCAGUACGGUCGGAAAUCGUACGUAGAGUGUAAAGGCAAAAGAGAGCUUGAUUGCGAGACAUACAGGUCGAGCAAGGGAGAAACACGGACUUAGUGAACCGGUGGUUCCUCGUGGCAGGGCCAUCGCUCAACGGAUAAAAGCUACCCUGGGGAUAACAGGCUUAUCUCCCCCAAGAGUCCACAUCGACGGGGAGGUUUGGCACCUCGAUGUCGGCUCAUCACAUCCUGGGGCUGUAGUAGGUCCCAAGGGUUGGGCUGUUCGCCCAUUAAAGUGGUACGCGAGCUGGGUUCAGAACGUCGUGAGACAGUUCGGUCCCUAUCCGUCGCAGGCGUAGGAAAUUUGAGAAGACCUGUCCUUAGUACGAGAGGACCGGGAUGGACGUACCUCUGGUGUACCAGUUGUCCUGCCAAGGGCAUGGCUGGGUAGCUAUGUACGGAAUGGAUAAGCGCUGAAAGCAUCUAAGCGCGAAG
This 750-nucleotide ribosomal RNA is filed under the name Clostridioides difficile. RNAcentral describes it as "bacterial LSU rRNA". It matches the Rfam family "Bacterial large subunit ribosomal RNA", at positions 2044 to 2792 of the family's 2925-position model. The record is from RNAcentral. Lineage: Bacteria; Bacillati; Bacillota; Clostridia; Peptostreptococcales; Peptostreptococcaceae.